AUACGUAGGGAGCGAGCGUUGUCCGGAAUUACUGGGUGUAAAGGGAGCGUAGGCGGGACUGCAAGUCAGAUGUGAAAUACCGGGGCUUAACCCCGGAGCUGCAUUUGCAACUGUGGUUCUUGAGUGAAGUAGAGGCAAGCGGAAUUCCUGGUGUAGCGGUGAAAUGCGUAGAUAUCAGGAGGAACACCGGUGGCGAAGGCGGCUUGCUGGGCUUUUACUGACGCUGAGGCUCGAAAGCGUGGGUAGCAAACAGGAUUAGAUACCCUGGUAGUCCACGCUGUAAACGAUGAUUACUAGGUGUGGGGGGACUGACCCCUUCCGUGCCGCAGUUAACACAAUAAGUAAUCCACCUGGGGAGUACGGCCGCAAGGUUGAAACUCAAAGGAAUUGACGGGG
RNAcentral lists this ribosomal RNA (396 nucleotides) under uncultured bacterium. RNAcentral's name for it is "partial 16S ribosomal RNA". It matches the Rfam family "Bacterial small subunit ribosomal RNA", at positions 523 to 918 of the family's 1533-position model. The record is from RNAcentral.